This 376-nucleotide ribosomal RNA is filed under the name uncultured bacterium. RNAcentral describes it as "bacterial SSU rRNA". It matches the Rfam family "Bacterial small subunit ribosomal RNA", at positions 521 to 896 of the family's 1533-position model. The record is from RNAcentral.
UAAUACGGAGGGUGCGAGCGUUAAUCGGAAUUACUGGGCGUAAAGCGUGCGCAGGCGGUUUGUUAAGCGAGAUGUGAAAGCCCCGGGCUCAACCUGGGAACCGCAUUUCGAACUGGCAAACUAGAGUCUUGUAGAGGGGGGUAGAAUUCCAGGUGUAGCGGUGAAAUGCGUAGAGAUCUGGAGGAAUACCGGUGGCGAAGGCGGCCCCCUGGACAAAGACUGACGCUCAGGCACGAAAGCGUGGGGAGCAAACAGGAUUAGAUACCCUGGUAGUCCACGCCGUAAACGAUGUCUACUCGGAGUUUGGUGUCUUGAACACUGGGCUCUCAAGCUAACGCAUUAAGUAGACCGCCUGGGGAGUACGGCCGCAAGGUUA